Small nucleolar RNA from Cicer arietinum (chickpea), 130 nucleotides. RefSeq annotates it as small nucleolar RNA SNORA69. The record is from RefSeq and is a predicted model, not a curated record. Lineage: Eukaryota; Viridiplantae; Streptophyta; Magnoliopsida; Fabales; Fabaceae.
UAUGGGUGGGCAUAUUACAGCGCUUUUUCGAGAAAGCGCUGUAAUAUGUACACCCAUAUAUGAAAUUAUGGGUGGGCAUAUUACAGCGCUUUUUUGAGAAAGCGCUGUAAUAUGCACACCCAUAACUCAU